UUUAAAUUGAGAGUUUGAUCCUGGCUCAGGAUGAACGCUGGUGGCGUGCCUAAUACAUGCAAGUCGUACGCUAGCCGCUGAAUUGAUCCUUCGGGUGAAGUGAGGCAAUGACUAGAGUGGCGAACUGGUGAGUAACACGUAAGAAACCUGCCCUUUAGUGGGGGAUAACAUUUGGAAACAGAUGCUAAUACCGCGUAACAACAAAUCACACAUGUGAUCUGUUUGAAAGGUCCUUUUGGAUCGCUAGAGGAUGGUCUUGCGGCGUAUUAGCUUGUUGGUAGGGUAGAAGCCUACCAAGGCAAUGAUGCGUAGCCGAGUUGAGAGACUGGCCGGCCACAUUGGGACUGAGACACUGCCCAAACUCCUACGGGAGGCUGCAGUAGGGAAUUUUCCGCAAUGCACGAAAGUGUGACGGAGCGACGCCGCGUGUGUGAUGAAGGCUUUCGGGUCGUAAAGCACUGUUGUAAGGGAAGAAUAACUGAAUUCAGAGAAAGUUUUCAGCUUGACGGUACCUUACCAGAAAGGGAUGGCUAAAUACGUGCCAGCAGCCGCGGUAAUACGUAUGUCCCGAGCGUUAUCCGGAUUUAUUGGGCGUAAAGCGAGCGCAGACGGUUUAUUAAGUCUGAUGUGAAAUCCCGAGGCCCAACCUCGGAACUGCAUUGGAAACUGAUUUACUUGAGUGCGAUAGAGGCAAGUGGAACUCCAUGUGUAGCGGUGAAAUGCGUAGAUAUGUGGAAGAACACCAGUGGCGAAAGCGGCUUGCUAGAUCGUAACUGACGUUGAGGCUCGAAAGUAUGG
This 798-nucleotide ribosomal RNA is filed under the name Oenococcus oeni. RNAcentral describes it as "bacterial SSU rRNA". It matches the Rfam family "Bacterial small subunit ribosomal RNA", at positions 1 to 764 of the family's 1533-position model. Lineage: Bacteria; Bacillati; Bacillota; Bacilli; Lactobacillales; Lactobacillaceae. The record is from RNAcentral.